AGAGUUUGAUCCUGGCUCAGAUUGAACGCUGGCGGCAUGCCUAACACAUGCAAGUCGCACGCGAAAGGGGGCAACCCCGAGUAGAGUGGCGGACGGAUGCGUAAUACGCAGGAAUCUACCCACGAGUGGGGGACAACCCGGGGAAACCCGGGCUAAUACCGCAUGAGACCUACGGGUGAAAGUGGGGGAUCGCAAGACCUCGCGCUGGUGGAUGAGCCUGCGUCCGAUUAGCUAGUUGGUAGGGUAAAAGCCUACCAAGGCAACGAUCGGUAGCUGGUCUGAGAGGACGACCAGCCACACUGGGACUGAGACACGGCCCAGACUCCUACGGGAGGCAGCAGUGGGGAAUAUUGGACAAUGGGGGCAACCCUGAUCCAGCAAUGCCGCGUGUGUGAAGAAGGCCUUCGGGUUGUAAAGCACUUUCGAUGGGGACAAACGUGUCGGGCUCAAUACGUCCUGCCUUGAUGGUACCUAGAGAAGAAGCACCGGCUAACUCUGUGCCAGCAGCCGCGGUAAUACAGAGGGUGCAAGCGUUAAUCGGAAUUACUGGGCGUAAAGCGUGCGUAGGUGGUUGGAUAAGUCAGGUGUGAAAUCCCCGAGCUUAACUUGGGAAUUGCGCUUGAUACUGUCCGGCUAGAGUGUGGUAGAGGGUAGUGGAAUUCCGCAUGUAGCGGUGAAAUGCGUAGAUAUGCGGAGGAACAUCAGUGGCGAAGGCGGCUACCUGGACCAACACUGACACUGAGGCACGAAAGCGUGGGUAGCAAACAGGAUUAGAUACCCUGGUAGUCC
RNAcentral lists this ribosomal RNA (789 nucleotides) under uncultured bacterium. RNAcentral's name for it is "bacterial SSU rRNA". It matches the Rfam family "Bacterial small subunit ribosomal RNA", at positions 8 to 796 of the family's 1533-position model. The record is from RNAcentral.